Felis catus (domestic cat) is the source of this 518-nucleotide long non-coding RNA. RefSeq lists it as uncharacterized. Lineage: Eukaryota; Metazoa; Chordata; Mammalia; Carnivora; Felidae. The transcript is spliced from 2 exons. The record is from RefSeq and is a predicted model, not a curated record.
ACCCAGGUGCCCCUUUACUUCUUUUCAACGCCUUUAAGCUCAUUUUGAUGUUUCAACCUAAAGGAGACGAGAAUGUGUUUGGAAAUGUAAAGGGUGGUUUUCACCUCCAAGAAACCACACUACCUGGAUGACGCUCUCACCUGCUCCUGCCAUGGCUGUAGUGGGUGAGAGGGGCCACCUGUCACCCCAGAGUCCACCCAACCCCGAUGUCAUCCCACCCCCAGCUGUGUCCACGGGCAUCGAGGUCAGGCAGAGAUGCACACACAAGUCAUAGAUUCUGUGCCUGCAGGGCUCGUGGAGCACCCCAGCCCCAGGACGGUCUGUCCUGCCAGACAGCUCUUCAUGGGGAGGCUAAAUGGAAAGAUGAGCUAACAGUGGUAUUGGAGACAAUUCUGCCUUCCUUCCAGCCCCGUCGACACUGAUGUGUUCCCUUGGCUGCCCGCUCAUCUACAGCGGAAGAAAAACCAUACACAGGAGUCUGCUUGAAGAGGGUGAGAUAAACAGGACAAUGUGGGUUU